AUACGUAGGUGGCGAGCGUUGUCCGGAUUUACUGGGUGUAAAGGGCGCGUAGGCGGGGAAGCAAGUCAGAUGUGAAAUCCAUGGGCUUAACCCAUGAACUGCAUUUGAAACUGUUUCUCUUGAGUGUCGGAGAGGUAGAUGGAAUUCCUAGUGUAGCGGUGAAAUGCGUAGAUAUUAGGAGGAACACCAGUGGCGAAGGCGAUCUACUGGACGAUAACUGACGCGGAGGCGCGAAAGCGUGGGGAGCAAACAGGAUUAGAUCCCCUGGUAGUCCACGCCGUAAACGAUGAAUACUAGGUGUGGGGGGACUGACCCCCUCCGUGCCGCAGUUAACACAAUAAGUAUUCCACCUGGGGAGUACAGCCGCAAGGUUGAAACUCAAAGGAAUUGACGGGG
RNAcentral lists this ribosomal RNA (396 nucleotides) under uncultured bacterium. Its description in RNAcentral is "partial 16S ribosomal RNA". It matches the Rfam family "Bacterial small subunit ribosomal RNA", at positions 523 to 918 of the family's 1533-position model. The record is from RNAcentral.